GGCGGUGGUAGCGCAGUGGUUAAGGUGUUGGUCUACUGCUCAGAAGGACAUGAGUUCAAACCUCAGCACCACCA
This is a non-coding RNA of Ameiurus melas (black bullhead), 74 nucleotides long. The record is from the annotation of a GenBank genome assembly. NCBI's taxonomy places the organism in Eukaryota, Metazoa, Chordata, Actinopteri, Siluriformes, Ictaluridae.